This 253-nucleotide ribosomal RNA is filed under the name uncultured bacterium. Its description in RNAcentral is "partial 16S ribosomal RNA". It matches the Rfam family "Bacterial small subunit ribosomal RNA", at positions 524 to 776 of the family's 1533-position model. The record is from RNAcentral.
UACGUAGGGGGCAAGCGUUAUCCGGAUUUACUGGGUGUAAAGGGAGCGUAGACGGCAUGGCAAGUCAGAUGUGAAAGCCCGGGGCUCAACCCCGGGACUGCAUUUGAAACUGUCAGGCUGGAGUGCAGGAGAGGUAAGCGGAAUUCCUAGUGUAGCGGUGAAAUGCGUAGAUAUUAGGAGGAACACCAGUGGCGAAGGCGGCUUACUGGACUGUAACUGACGUUGAAGCUCGAAAGCGUGGGGAGCAAACAGG